GGGCCCGUCGUCUAGCCCGGAAGGACGCCGCCCUUACGAGCUAUUGGGCUAGGAAAGGCGGUAGUCCGGGGUUCAAAUCCCCGCGGGCCCA
RNAcentral lists this transfer RNA (91 nucleotides) under Ignicoccus islandicus DSM 13165. It matches the Rfam family "tRNA". Rfam says of the family: Transfer RNA (tRNA) molecules are approximately 80 nucleotides in length. The record is from Rfam by way of RNAcentral. Lineage: Archaea; Thermoproteati; Thermoproteota; Thermoprotei; Desulfurococcales; Desulfurococcaceae.